Arachis stenosperma is the source of this 410-nucleotide long non-coding RNA. RefSeq lists it as uncharacterized. The transcript has 4 exons. The record is from RefSeq and is a predicted model, not a curated record. Lineage: Eukaryota; Viridiplantae; Streptophyta; Magnoliopsida; Fabales; Fabaceae.
GAAACAGAGAGAAGGAAAUAUUAAAAAUCAAGACCAAUCCACAGGUUUCCUUUGGUGAGGUUGAAAUUCUUACAGUCAGAAGACAUCAAAAUCAAGUUUCACUUCAUCGCUUGUUUCCUCCUGCAUCAGAAACAAGAGGUGCUGCCAUUUGUAAAGUCUACUGAGAUUGGCCAAGCCACUUCUGAUGCACAACCUAUAGAGAUAGAUAUAUCUCAGCCAACUGCUUCUGAUGUAGAAGAUUCUCAAAAGGAUCAUGGAAUAAAAAGGCCUUCAAAAUUAUCACCAAGGAGAAGAUCCUCUCCACUAGCAACUUCUGUCCCAGUAAAUCCCAUGCAGGGUGCUAGUUCAGGAACUGCAACAAAACUUGUCAAUUACAUGAAGUUCAUCCCAACUCCAGGAUUUAAGGCUCC